GGCGAACGCUGGCGGCGUGCUUAACACAUGCAAGUCGAACGGAAAGGCCCUGCUUUUGUGGGGUGCUCGAGUGGCGAACGGGUGAGUAACACGUGAGUAACCUGCCCUUGACUUUGGGAUAACUUCAGGAAACUGGGGCUAAUACCGGAUAGGAGCUCCUGAUGCAUGGUGGGGGUUGGAAAGUUUCGGCGGUUGGGGAUGGACUCGCGGCUUAUCAGCUUGUUGGUGGGGUAGUGGCUUACCAAGGCUUUGACGGGUAGCCGGCCUGAGAGGGUGACCGGCCACAUUGGGACUGAGAUACGGCCCAGACUCCUACGGGAGGCAGCAGUGGGGAAUAUUGCACAAUGGGCGGAAGCCUGAUGCAGCAACGCCGCGUGCGGGAUGACGGCCUUCGGGUUGUAAACCGCUUUCGCCUGUGACGAAGCGUGAGUGACGGUAAUGGGUAAAGAAGCACCGGCUAACUACGUG
This 468-nucleotide ribosomal RNA is filed under the name uncultured bacterium. RNAcentral's name for it is "partial 16S ribosomal RNA". It matches the Rfam family "Bacterial small subunit ribosomal RNA", at positions 28 to 507 of the family's 1533-position model. The record is from RNAcentral.